CAUAUGUUCACGGCAUACAGGACCUCCCACAGCAGGCAACCGCUAAAACAUGUCUCUGGCAUGUUACUCAGCCCUGGCAGAGUGUCCAGUCAGGGGUGAGGGUAACUUUGCGGCCAGAAUCAUCAAGAUCUAGGGACUACUUGACAGCAGUUUGAGAUGACUACCUCAGGACUCAUGCAUUGUGCUCACGAACAGAAGAGCCCCAGCAGCAGAGAUAGAGGCUACCAUGCCCAUCCCCAAGCAUGCCCAUGCUAGCUGGGGCUGAAAACUUCUGAAGCUGCUGGACCUUGUCUGCAUGUAACAAUUACAAAACAUCUGAACGCCAAUAACAUAUUUUAUUCAGGGAAAAUCAAUCUAUUUGCCAGCAAGUUGAUCAGAGUGGCACCUUUUAUCUAAGAAAAGGCAGGAUUUUACCCAACAAGUAGAAUCCCACCUAUGUAUAAGUCCUUCCCUUGCAUAGUGCCUCAGUCAAUACUGUUGUCCAAAGGCUUCCUGAACUUCUGGUUCACAUGUGGGAUUCCAUACAGUAUCAGUUUAGACAGGCGACCUGGAGUAUGGCAAGAAAGUGAGGCACAGGGCACAUGUCUGUGUGUGAGAAUCAUGCACAGUCUGUACUAAUCUGAGGUUGAUGGCCUGGAGGAACCUGGCAAAAGUCUCUUAAGGUGCAGCUGAAGCACCUUUCACUGGAUGGUCUUUAAUGCUGAUGGAGCUCCAUCCUUCAAAACAGAUAUUAUGCACAAAAUGCUUUAUUAUGCACUCAGAGGCUUUUGUUGGAAUUGAAGACAUUCAAGCUAUGCAAACACCUCUCCAAAGAGUCACUGCCUUGCAGAAAUGCUGAUUGUCACAGUUAACUAGACACAAGUGAGGGUUAUCUAGGAAGAAGGAACCUUAAUUAAGGGAUUGCAUCCAUCUGUUUGACCUGUAGGCUUCACCAACGUUGGAGACAGACCUGACUGUUCUGGAUUGGAGAGAGACCUGACUGAGGUUAGUUAGACUGUGCUGGAUUGUAACCUAACCAGCAGACUCCCAGUUGCCUUUGGCUGUCUUCCUCAGUUUCUGGCCAAACUGAAAGCCUGUAGCUGAAGAGAGCCGGGUCCAUGGAUAGAUGAUCCAUUCACUUUGACUUCUAUGAGUAUCUUGUACUGGCUCAUUAACUGGCACUUGACAAGUAAUUAUCACGUUUGAUUUGAACACAGGGAAACACAAUCUGCCAUAGUGAAGGAAGGAAGCUCAUAGGAAGGGUGCUGGGGUGGUUAGCUUUUGUUGUCAACCUGACACAAGCUAGGAGCGUUUGUGAAGAGUAUCUCACUGAAGAAUUGUCUACAUUGGGUUGGCCUGUGAGCAUAUCUGUGGAGCAUUAUUUAAUUAAUGUGUGACAAUUCAAUCCACUGUGGACAGCACCAUUUCUUCAUCAGGGGUCCUGAACUGUAUUCGUGGAGCAAUCAAGCAGAACUCAGCAAGCAAGGCAGCUUGCAAGCAAGUAUGCCUGCAUGCAUCAGUUGUUUUCUUUCUCUUGCUUGUGGAUAUAGUGUGACAAGCUGUUCAAAGUUCCUGCUUUGAUCCCCCCGCCCCCAGUGAUGGACUGCAACCUUUCCUCUUCUAAAUUGCUUUUUCUCAGAGUAUUUUUUUUUUCAAAAAAGAUUUAUUCACUUAUUAUACCACAGCAACAAGAAUGAAAUUAGAACAGGCACCCUUCCUAGGAGUGAGCCCAUGUGAGUGGUGCAGCCCGGCGCCCUCUGUGGGCUGUUGACUCAGUGCCUCUGUGUUCUCUGUCUCUGUCAACACUUUCUCUGAGCUCCAUGGGAGUCUUGGGAGGUGCACCUGCGAGCAGCUCCUCAAAUAGAGAUGGCUGAACUUUCUAUUAUUUUUAAGGUUGAUGAUGAAAUAAAUCAUAGGUCUGCAAAGUGUGUGAUCCCGAAAGUUGAGGAGUUCUUAAAGUCUUCCUUCCUCUGAGAGGAUAAAAGCUGCAGUUCUUUUGUGCGAUAAUGACAGACUGUCAGCGUCUGUCUGUUUGCCUGACUCCCAUUCACUGAAUAAAUGCUGGUAAUUGCUAAUUGCCUGGAGAAGAAAACUGACUCACAGCCCCAAAGUGUCUUGCAUCUUGAUGUUGCAGGCUCUCUGAGCUGGUUUUAUGUCUAAAUCAGGGGAUGUCUUGCUGGAAUCUGCAUACUCACUUGCCUCCUCAAGGGUUGUGGGGUUAGAUUAAUUCAAGUGGGAUUUCUGUCAAUGACACCUCACUGGGAACUUUGGGGAGUCCUGUGCAUUGUAUCUUUCCUUACA
Molecule: non-coding RNA, 2280 nt
Organism: Peromyscus maniculatus bairdii (prairie deer mouse)
Lineage: Eukaryota; Metazoa; Chordata; Mammalia; Rodentia; Cricetidae
Source: RefSeq, a predicted model, not a curated record